RNAcentral lists this ribosomal RNA (269 nucleotides) under Escherichia coli. Its description in RNAcentral is "partial 23S ribosomal RNA". It matches the Rfam family "Bacterial large subunit ribosomal RNA", at positions 1 to 270 of the family's 2925-position model. The record is from RNAcentral. Lineage: Bacteria; Pseudomonadati; Pseudomonadota; Gammaproteobacteria; Enterobacterales; Enterobacteriaceae.
GGUUAAGCGACUAAGCGUACACGGUGGAUGCCCUGGCAGUCAGAGGCGAUGAAGGACGUGCUAAUCUGCGAUAAGCGUCGGUAAGGUGAUAUGAACCGUUAUAACCGGCGAUUUCCGAAUGGGGAAACCCAGUGUGUUUCGACACACUAUCAUUAACUGAAUCCAUAGGUUAAUGAGGCGAACCGGGGGAACUGAAACAUCUAAGUACCCCGAGGAAAAGAAAUCAACCGAGAUUCCCCCAGUAGCGGCGAGCGAACGGGGAGCAGCCC